GGAGACGUCGCAUAGUCAGGCCGAGUGCACCACCCUGCUAAGGUGGAGUCCCCCUUUCGGGGGACCGAGGGUUCAAAUCCCUCCGUCUCCGCCA
Molecule: transfer RNA, 94 nt
Filed under: Pseudoclavibacter triregionum
Lineage: Bacteria; Bacillati; Actinomycetota; Actinomycetes; Micrococcales; Microbacteriaceae
Description: Pseudoclavibacter sp. 125703-2019 tRNA-Ser(gct)
Rfam family: tRNA
About the family: Transfer RNA (tRNA) molecules are approximately 80 nucleotides in length. Their secondary structure includes four short double-helical elements and three loops (D, anti-codon, and T loops). Further hydrogen bonds mediate the characteristic L-shaped molecular structure. tRNAs have two regions of fundamental functional importance: the anti-codon, which is responsible for specific mRNA codon recognition, and the 3' end, to which the tRNAs corresponding amino acid is attached (by aminoacyl-tRNA synthetases). tRNAs cope with the degeneracy of the genetic code in two manners: having more than one tRNA (with a specific anti-codon) for a particular amino acid; and 'wobble' base-pairing, i.e. permitting non-standard base-pairing at the 3rd anti-codon position.
Source: RNAcentral